AGGCGAAAAGAACCCCGGCGAGGGGAGUGAAAAAGAACCUGAAACCGUGUACGUACAAGCAGUGGGAGCACGCUUAGGCGUGUGACUGCGUACCUUUUGUAUAAUGGGUCAGCGACUUAUAUUCUGUAGCAAGGUUAACCGAAUAGGGGAGCCGAAGGGAAACCGAGUCUUAACUGGGCGUUAAGUUGCAGGGUAUAGACCCGAAACCCGGUGAUCUAGCCAUGGGCAGGUUGAAGGUUGGGUAACACUAACUGGAGGACCGAACCGACUAAUGUUGAAAAAUUAGCGGAUGACUUGUGGCUGGGGGUGAAAGGCCAAUCAAACCGGGAGAUAGCUGGUUCUCCCCGAAAGCUAUUUAGGUAGCGCCUCGUGAAUUCAUCUCCGGGGGUAGAGCACUGUUUCGGCAAGGGGGUCAUCCCGACUUACCAACCCGAUGCAAACUGCGAAUACCGGAGAAUGUUAUCACGGGAGACACACGGCGGGUGCUAACGUCCGUCGUGAAGAGGGAAACAACCCAGACCGCCAGCUAAGGUCCCAAAGUCAUGGUUAAGUGGGAAACGAUGUGGGAAGGCCCAGACAGCCAGGAUGUUGGCUUAGAAGCAGCCAUCAUUUAAAGAAAGCGUAAUAGCUCACUGGUCGAGUCGGCCUGCGCGGAAGAUGUAACGGGGCUAAACCAUGCACCGAAGCUGCGGCAGCGACGCUUAUGCGUUGUUGGGUAGGGGAGCGUUCUGUAAGCCUGCGAAGGUGUGCUGUGAGGCAUGCUGGAGGUAUCAGAAGUGCGAAUGCUGACAUAAGUAACGAUAAAGCGGGUGAAAAGCCCGCUCGCCGGAAGACCAAGGGUUCCUGUCCAACGUUAAUCGGGGCAGGGUGAGUCGACCCCUAAGGCGAGGCCGAAAGGCGUAGUCGAUGGGAAACAGGUUAAUAUUCCUGUACUUGGUGUUACUGCGAAGGGGGGACGGAGAAGGCUAUGUUGGCCGGGCGACGGUUGUCCCGGUUUAAGCGUGUAGGCUGGUUUUCCAGGCAAAUCCGGAAAAUCAAGGCUGAGGCGUGAUGACGAGGCACUACGGUGCUGAAGCAACAAAUGCCCUGCUUCCAGGAAAAGCCUCUAAGCAUCAGGUAACAUCAAAUCGUACCCCAAACCGACACAGGUGGUCAGGUAGAGAAUACCAAGGCGCUUGAGAGAACUCGGGUGAAGGAACUAGGCAAAAUGGUGCCGUAACUUCGGGAGAAGGCACGCUGAUAUGUAGGUGAAGUCCCUCGCGGAUGGAGCUGAAAUCAGUCGAAGAUACCAGCUGGCUGCAACUGUUUAUUAAAAACACAGCACUGUGCAAACACGAAAGUGGACGUAUACGGUGUGACGCCUGCCCGGUGCCGGAAGGUUAAUUGAUGGGGUCAGCGCAAGCGAAGCUCUUGAUCGAAGCCCCGGUAAACGGCGGCCGUAACUAUAACGGUCCUAAGGUAGCGAAAUUCCUUGUCGGGUAAGUUCCGACCUGCACGAAUGGCGUAAUGAUGGCCAGGCUGUCUCCACCCGAGACUCAGUGAAAUUGAACUCGCUGUGAAGAUGCAGUGUACCCGCGGCAAGACGGAAAGACCCCGUGAACCUUUACUAUAGCUUGACACUGAACAUUGAGCCUUGAUGUGUAGGAUAGGUGGGAGGCUUUGAAGUGUGGACGCCAGUCUGCAUGGAGCCGACCUUGAAAUACCACCCUUUAAUGUUUGAUGUUCUAACGUUGACCCGUGAUCCGGGUUGCGGACAGUGUCUGGUGGGUAGUUUGACUGGGGCGGUCUCCUCCUAAAGAGUAACGGAGGAGCACGAAGGUUGGCUAAUCCUGGUCGGACAUCAGGAGGUUAGUGCAAUGGCAUAAGCCAGCUUGACUGCGAGCGUGACGGCGCGAGCAGGUGCGAAAGCAGGUCAUAGUGAUCCGGUGGUUCUGAAUGGAAGGGCCAUCGCUCAACGGAUAAAAGGUACUCCGGGGAUAACAGGCUGAUACCGCCCAAGAGUUCAUAUCGACGGCGGUGUUUGGCACCUCGAUGUCGGCUCAUCACAUCCUGGGGCUGAAGUAGGUCCCAAGGGUAUGGCUGUUCGCCAUUUAAAGUGGUACGCGAGCUGGGUUUAGAACGUCGUGAGACAGUUCGGUCCCUAUCUGCCGUGGGCGCU
This 2158-nucleotide ribosomal RNA is filed under the name Escherichia coli. RNAcentral's name for it is "partial 23S ribosomal RNA". It matches the Rfam family "Bacterial large subunit ribosomal RNA", at positions 512 to 2655 of the family's 2925-position model. Lineage: Bacteria; Pseudomonadati; Pseudomonadota; Gammaproteobacteria; Enterobacterales; Enterobacteriaceae. The record is from RNAcentral.